AACGAACGCUGGCGGCAGGCCUAACACAUGCAAGUCGAACGCCGUAGCAAUACGGAGUGGCAGACGGGUGAGUAACACGUGGGAACGUACCCUUCGGUUCGGAAUAGCUCAGGGAAACUUGAGCUAAAACCGGAUACGUCCGAGAGGAGAAAGAUUUAUCGCCGAGGGAUCGGCCCGCGUCUGAUUAGCUUGUUGGUGAGGUAACGGCUCACCAAGGCGACGAUCAGUAGCUGGCUGAGAGGAUGAUCAGCCACAUUGGGACUGAGACACGGCCCAAACUCCUACGGGAGGCAGCAGUGGGGAAUAUUGGACAAUGGCGCAAGCCUGAUCCAGCCAUGCCGCGUGAGUGAUGAAGGCCCUA
Molecule: ribosomal RNA, 361 nt
Filed under: uncultured bacterium
Lineage: Bacteria
Description: bacterial SSU rRNA
Rfam family: Bacterial small subunit ribosomal RNA
Source: RNAcentral